GAGCGAGGUGAGAUCGAGAAGGUCUUCGCUGCCAUGGAAGCCAACUAUGAAGCAUGGGUAAAAGGCUUUGCCCCGCUAGCUGUCGGCGCCGACGUCCCAGCGGCAGUGAGGGAGUUCAGCCGAACAUUGUUCAACAUGAGGCCCGACAUUUCCCUCUUUGUAUCAAGAACAGUCUUCAACAGCGAUCUAAGGGAGGUGCUGGGGAUGGUAAGGACGCCGUGCUGCAUCAUACAGAGUGCCAAGGAUGUGUCAGUGCCGGUAUCGGUGGCAGCCUAUCUGAA
RNAcentral lists this unclassified non-coding RNA (281 nucleotides) under Hevea brasiliensis (rubber tree). Lineage: Eukaryota; Viridiplantae; Streptophyta; Magnoliopsida; Malpighiales; Euphorbiaceae. The record is from RNAcentral.